CGCCUCGGCGUCGGCCAUGUUCGUCUGCGCCACCGCCACCACCGCGACGGCGGCGGCGGCGGCGGCGGCGAGGAGGAGGAGGAGGAGAGGCUGCGCCAUGGCGCGCGAAGGGACGGGGAGGCCGGCGUGUGGGCGUGUGGGACGCGCGUGCCUAAGUUU
This 159-nucleotide small RNA is filed under the name Oryza sativa Japonica Group (Japanese rice). RNAcentral's name for it is "sRNA Os06g0198850". Lineage: Eukaryota; Viridiplantae; Streptophyta; Magnoliopsida; Poales; Poaceae. The record is from RNAcentral.